GAUGAACGCUGGCGGCGUGCCUAAUACAUGCAAGUCGAACGCUGGAGCUCUAGCUUGCUAGAUCGAAGGAGUGGCGAACGGGUGAGUAAUACAUAAGCAACCUACCCACGAAGACUGGGAUAAUCUCUGGAAACGGGGACUAAUACCGGAUAGGUAAUCGGAAGGCAUCUUCUGGUUAUUAAAGGUUAAAAACACUGGUGGAUGGGCUUAUGGCGCAUUAGUUAGUUGGUGAGGUAACGGCCCACCAAGACGAUGAUGCGUAGCCGGCCUGAGAGGGUGAACGGCCACAUUGGGACUAAGACACGGCCCAGACUCCUACGGGAGGCAGCAGUAGGGAAUUUUCGGCAAUGGGGGCAACCCUGACCGAGCAACGCCGCGUGAGUGAAGACGGCCUUCGGGUUGUAAAGCUCUGUUGUAAGGGAAGAACGGUAGAUAGAGAAUAUCUAAGUGACGGUACCUUACCAGAAAGCCACGGCUAACUACGUG
RNAcentral lists this ribosomal RNA (486 nucleotides) under uncultured bacterium. RNAcentral's name for it is "partial 16S ribosomal RNA". It matches the Rfam family "Bacterial small subunit ribosomal RNA", at positions 28 to 507 of the family's 1533-position model. The record is from RNAcentral.